UUACCUGCCCCGCCCCAACUUGUUAUACUCCAUGCAGCCCUCAACAAGGGUCCCAUUGUGAGACCCCGAGACUGAAUUUAUGCAAUUUAGCUCCAAAUGCUAACUUGCGCAUAAAUCAAGUCCCAGUGCCUCCCUACGAUGAACACUUCACAACAUACACGCAAUGUGUUCACCGCAGGUUGGAACAACAAUGAUAUCAUUACAUCACUCUAAGACACAAGAAUUAAGUCAAGCUCUUGCAUGGAGCAAAAUACCGAGUUAUUACAACUCAGGGACACAUGUCCACAAUCAUCAUUACACUUGCGGAGGCAAAUUAGGCCCGAGUACGGACAAGUUACAAUUAUUGCCUAAGAGGCUGAAACUGGAAAGGAGAGCCCGCCACAAGUUCACAGAACCCUGCUCUGGAAUCUUCUGGCUAAGCGUCGAAGCUGUCGUCGUCGAACUCCACGAAGUAACCACUUACCUGUUCCUCCGGAAACUCUGGAGAAAACAACGUUGCAGAGCAACUGAGUACAAAGUACUCGCAAGACUUACGGGAGAUCUAAACUAGAUAUGCAACAAGUCUCAAAAGAUGGAUAAAAAGGUGGGGUUAUGCAGUAGCAAUUUAUCUGAAGAGACACACUAAUGACAUCGUCUAAUUAGAGGAUGAGAAGCGUCUACCAAGUGAGGUGAUCUCUAAUAUCUAACACCAACCAAACACAACCUCUUAUCACCCCCUCAACCCCUUGUGAGGAAAUGAUCCAAAGACACUCACACUUAAGCAGUUUUAAGCAUACCCAUGGUUAAGGCUAAUUACUACUCAAGUUUAAGAGAUUAAGUUAAUUAAUUGGUAUGAGUUCUCUAUGAUCAAGUAUGACCAACCAAGUCGUCCAUGACCGCGGACACGGCUUUCCGAAAGAUUUAUCCCUGCAGGGUGUGCCAAUUUACCCAUACACGUUCGUCCAACCCUUGACGCCACUAGGAUGGAACACACGCAAAAGCAUGUGCCGGCAGGAUUGAGCGACACGACGUUUCCAAGCCCCACAACUAAUCCAGGAAACCACCCAACUGAGUCUAAUCCGAAAACGAGAGCCCGGCUGAAGCGUCGUACGGACUCAAGAGUUGCGGGAACAGCUGGUAGUGGUUCAGUGUCCGCAGAAUGACCACUACAGACGUGUGCCGCAGUCCUAUAUGUAUGCAAAGUACCAACAAAUCUGCAAACACAACAACAAUGUAUAUGCGAUAUGCCAAAUGGAACGCCCGAACUAUGUGGCCCUUGGAAGAGCUAUGAAACGAGUACUAAGCCGAGAGAGAACCCAUAUAUUCUCCCACGAGCAGUUAGCGCGAAGUUUCUUGGGUCGGCGAAAACGAGAACUCAGUCCUUAAGUCGGCGCCAAUGGAACAAAACACUAAUGCGUUAGCACGGCCUCCCAUCGUUGCCUUGUGCAGGUAAUAACAGGUCAACUUAAUAAUUGCAAAUACAUACAGAAAGUAGCAUGUGGAUGUAGCAAUUGUAUAACCCCAAGUAAGGACACUAGACUAGCAAUCUAAGCAAACUUCUAAUGACCAACUAGGGCAAUAACAAACAUGUGACAUGGUGAUAGGAUAAGGAACAAGACAACAGGCAUUUGAGUAGAGCUGACUAAAGCUAUGCAAUCCUAGAGGCAUCGUGACAAGAACCGAGAACGUAACUUAAUGCAAGAAUGAGAGAGAGGCAUUGGAUAUAAUCAAUAUGUUCAAGGAAUGGCUGCUUGCCUGGAUUCUCGGUCGCUGGGCACCGAGAGAGGGGAUCCGAAGAAGUGUGGGAACCCGGAUCGUUGGCAGAGUAAGUCGGAGUCGCUAUCGUAAAGAACCAAAUCACACAAUACGCAAAUAAGUAACCAUUCACAGGUGCAAUGCACAAUACAACAUGAGAUGGCAUGUGACAACACGAUGCAACAAUAUGCAAGUGAAAUGAUUCCAUUUAGCAACAAAGUUAACCAUUAGGUGAUUAGAACAUGAUAAACAGUAGCUCUAAAAUACACAAAUGGCCUAACCAAGUAUGCUACUGUGUUCUACCAGUUACAGUGAUCAACUUUGAUGUUUACACUAAUUACAGAAGAGUUACCAAUUUUAAAUUAGAAACUAAACAAGUACAUACGUUUGAAUUUCAAAUCUGGGACAGAUUUGAAAUCUGAAACUUAAAAAUGUAAAUCUAAUUGCACAGUUAAAUCCCUUGCAUUUUUCUGAUUCCAAAACAUAUAUGGUUUGCUCAAUUUGGAUAUAGCAUGCAAUUACUAGGAUUUAAACAAGAUAAAACAACUUUCUGCAAUUUAAACAAAACCAACAAGGAAAGCCCAUGCGGAUCCAGCGCAUGGACUUGGUCCACCGGGUGCAGCGGUGCACCAGGCAACUGACAGGUGGGUUUGUGGGGCCCACUUGUCAGUGGCCGGUGAAAACCCAAAAAAACGGGGUUUUAACCUGCUCGAGGGGGAACUCGAACCCGCGCCGAUCAGAUCCAACGCUGAGGAAGCAGGCCACUGCGAUAAGAAUUCGCAUCUUAACAUAACAAGGGCGUGUGUCCUUUUGAACUAACCCAAACUAGCAGCUUGUGUGACCACACGAUGCGGCGGAGGAACUAGCUAGCGCAGGAAAACGGCGGCACGCGGAGUUAAGCUAGGUGGCACGAAGGCCACCACACGGUCCUUAGCGAGAACGGCGGCGCAACGACGAGCAGCAGCUCGCCGGUGGCAAGCCGGAGCACGCGGGCGGCGCUACGGUGCACGAAAGCAUGCGCGGAAAGAGGCGGGAGAGAGAGGAGCUCACCCCGGUGACUUGAGAGGAAGCUGACGUGGUUUACACGGACGUGCUCGUCGGAAUUUCGUCGGAGACGGGCGGCGGCCGGAGUUGGGGAAGACGAACUAGGCGGCGACGUAGGCGAUCUCUGAUCGAUUCCUCGCGUCCAGACGAAGAGCAGCUCCGGGCGAACAAGGUGACACGUGCGGUUCGUCGUGGUUCGGUCGGAGGCGGCGGCGCGGCGCGACGGCGUCCACGGCCCGGGAAGAAGGCGACGGCGGCGCGCAGAAGGAGGGAGAGGAAACCCUAGCAAGGGUUUGCCUGGCGCUGGGGAAGGGAGGAG
RNAcentral lists this long non-coding RNA (3097 nucleotides) under Brachypodium distachyon (stiff brome). RNAcentral describes it as "long non-coding RNA (BDIS_LNC005945)". The record is from RNAcentral. Lineage: Eukaryota; Viridiplantae; Streptophyta; Magnoliopsida; Poales; Poaceae.